ACGCACGCUGGCGGCGUGCUUAACCCAUGCCAGUCGAACGGUGAAGCGCCUUCCUUUUUGGUGGGUGUGGAUGAGUGGCGAACGGGUGAGUAACACGUGAGUAACCUGCCCCCUUCUUCUGGAUAACCGCAUGAAAGUGUGGCUAAUACGGGAUAUUCUGGGUCUGUCGCAUGAUGGGUCUGGGAAAGAUAUUGUUUCGGUGGGGGAUGGGCUCGCGGCCUAUCAGCUUGUUGGUGGGGUGAUGGCCUACCAAGGCGGUGACGGGUAGCCGGCCUGAGAGGGUGGACGGUCACACUGGGACUGAGACACGGCCCAGACUCCUACGGGAGGCAGCAGGGGGGAAUAUUGCACAAUGGGCGCAAGCCUGAUGCAGCGACGCCGCGUGAGGGAUGGAGGCCUUCGGGUUGUGAACCUCUUUCGCCAGUGAAGCAGGCCUGCCUCGUUUGUGGGUGGGUUGACGGUAGCUGGAUAAGAAGCGCCGGCUAACUACGUG
Molecule: ribosomal RNA, 493 nt
Filed under: uncultured bacterium
Lineage: Bacteria
Description: partial 16S ribosomal RNA
Rfam family: Bacterial small subunit ribosomal RNA
Source: RNAcentral